UUAGCUGAAACCAAAUUAGAGGUAAAUCACUGUUAAUGAUUUUAUUGAGAGAUCCUGCUGUU
This 62-nucleotide transfer RNA is filed under the name Pseudoniphargus sp. 1-Azores. RNAcentral's name for it is "tRNA-Asn". Lineage: Eukaryota; Metazoa; Arthropoda; Malacostraca; Amphipoda; Allocrangonyctidae. The record is from RNAcentral.